AACACAUGCAAGUCGAGGGGUAUAGUUCUUCGGAGCUAGAGACCGGCGCACGGGUGCGUAACGCGUAUGCAAUCUACCUUUCACAGAGGGAUAGCCCAGAGAAAUUUGGAUUAAUACCUCAUAGUAUUAUAGAGUGGCAUCACUUUAUAAUUAAAGUCACAACGGUGAAAGAUGAGCAUGCGUCCCAUUAGCUAGUUGGUAAGGUAACGGCUUACCAAGGCUACGAUGGGUAGGGGUCCUGAGAGGGAGAUCCCCCACACUGGUACUGAGACACGGACCAGACUCCUACGGGAGGCAGCAGUGAGGAAUAUUGGACAAUGGGCGCAAGCCUGAUCCAGCCAUGCCGCGUGCAGGAUGACGGUCCUAUGGAUUGUAAACUGCUUUUAUACAGGAAGAAACACCUCUACGUGUAGAGACUUGACGGUACUGUAAGAAUAAGGAUCGGCUAACUCCGUGCCAGCAGCCGCGGUAAUACGGAGGAUCCAAGCGUUAUCCGGAAUCAUUGGGUUUAAAGGGUCCGUAGGCGGUUUAGUAAGUCAGUGGUGAAAGCCCAUCGCUCAACGGUGGAACGGCCAUUGAUACUGCUAGACUUGAAUUAUUAGGAAGUAACUAGAAUAUGUAGUGUAGCGGUGAAAUGCUUAGAGAUUACAUGGAAUACCAAUUGCGAAGGCAGGUUACUACUAAUUGAUUGACGCUGAUGGACGAAAGCGUGGGUAGCGAACAGGAUUAGAUACCCUGGUAGUCCACGCCGUAAACGAUGGAUACUAGCUGUUGGGAGCAAUCUCAGUGGCUAAGCGAAAGUGAUA
This 806-nucleotide ribosomal RNA is filed under the name uncultured Flavobacterium sp. RNAcentral describes it as "bacterial SSU rRNA". It matches the Rfam family "Bacterial small subunit ribosomal RNA", at positions 50 to 862 of the family's 1533-position model. The record is from RNAcentral. Lineage: Bacteria; Pseudomonadati; Bacteroidota; Flavobacteriia; Flavobacteriales; Flavobacteriaceae.